This 424-nucleotide ribosomal RNA is filed under the name uncultured bacterium. Its description in RNAcentral is "partial 16S ribosomal RNA". It matches the Rfam family "Bacterial small subunit ribosomal RNA", at positions 360 to 776 of the family's 1533-position model. The record is from RNAcentral.
AAUUUUGGACAAUGUGCGCAAGCCUGAUCCCGCCAUGCCGCGUGAGUGAAGAAGGCCUUCGGUCUGUAAAGCUCUUCCGGACGGAACGAAGUCGCCCAGGCUAAUACCCUGACCUGAUGACCAUACCGCCAUAAGGUUCCCCCGCUAACUACGUGCCCGCCGCCGCGGUAAUACGUAGGGUGCGAGCGUUAAUCGGAAUUACUGGGCGUAAAGCGUGCGCAGGCGGUUGAUUAAGACAGGCGUGAAAUCCCCGGGCCUAACCUGGGAACUGCGCUUGUGACUGGUCAGCUAGAGUACGGCAGAGGGGGGUGGAAUUCCACGUGUAGCAGUGAAAUGCGUAGAGAUGUGGAGGAACACCGAUGGCGAAGGCAGCCCCCUGGGCCGAUACUGACGCUCAUGCACGAAAGCGUGGGUAGCAAACAGG